GGGGAUUUAGCUCAACGGCAUGAGCACCUGCCUGGCAAGCUUGAGGUCAUGAGUUCAAUCCCCA
RNAcentral lists this transfer RNA (64 nucleotides) under Cavia porcellus (domestic guinea pig). It matches the Rfam family "tRNA", at positions 1 to 62 of the family's 71-position model. Rfam says of the family: Transfer RNA (tRNA) molecules are approximately 80 nucleotides in length. Their secondary structure includes four short double-helical elements and three loops (D, anti-codon, and T loops). The record is from Rfam by way of RNAcentral. Lineage: Eukaryota; Metazoa; Chordata; Mammalia; Rodentia; Caviidae.